RNAcentral lists this transfer RNA (71 nucleotides) under Belgica antarctica. RNAcentral's name for it is "tRNA IU25_tRNA_45". Lineage: Eukaryota; Metazoa; Arthropoda; Insecta; Diptera; Chironomidae. The record is from RNAcentral.
GGAGUCGCCCGGGCUCGAACCGGGAUUAACUGGACGGGAACCAGACAUUCUACCAUUAAAUUACGACCCCU